This is a long non-coding RNA of Hydra vulgaris (swiftwater hydra), 1098 nucleotides long. RefSeq lists it as uncharacterized. NCBI's taxonomy places the organism in Eukaryota, Metazoa, Cnidaria, Hydrozoa, Anthoathecata, Hydridae. The record is from RefSeq and is a predicted model, not a curated record.
AAGAGGUCUAAAAAAUAAUUCAACUAGUUUAUAAACAUUUUAAAACGGAGUUUAUUGUAUUAUACCCCCUAGAACCAAGUUGAUUUAAUUAUUGGUACUCAGUUAAAGAACUUCUAUUAUGGAGAUUACAAUUAAUGCAAUAAAUUUCCUGUUAUUCAAAAAAUUUGUUUAACCUAGCUUUUUACUUUUAGUACAAUAGCAUAUUAUAGUUGGUUAAUGAAAAAAAUUGAUGAAAUAAUCCAACAAGAGUAACAAAGGCUGAUUUAGCCAUCCCAACACAUAAUAGAACACUAGUGCACUUGACAAAUCUUUAACAAGAGAAUGACACAAUCAAAAUAUUUUAUUAUUGUCCUUUGGAUGUUUGUCUUGCACUUUGCGUGUGUUCAAAAUGUGCCUAAAUUCACCUCUGAGUGUCAUCCAGUUUCAUUUCCAGCUGUUCGUGUUGAUAUAUCUCCGCGUUGUAAAGAUGUACGCGUAGCUAUGAAUCAAUGCGUUGGAGCAUGCGAAUCUAUGGACAAAAAUCCAUCAAACGAGAGGAAAUCUGUUUGCAGAUGUUGUCAACCAGUAGAUUUUAUUGAAAGAAACAUUGUUAAAGAAGUUGCAUGUAUGUCUAAUGACAAAGCUGUAACGACUCUGAUGACUAUAAAAAUUUUUGAACCAAUCAGAUGCGAGUGCAGAAAUUGUAAACCUUCAUAAAUCUAUUAAUAACUGUUAAGAGCUGGUUUCUGUUAAGAACUUAAAUUUCUGGUUUUGAAACCAGAAAUGAGUUUAAGUCAUAUUUUUUUUUUUUAUAAAAAAAAUAAUAUGCCAACCAUACGAAAUUCGCAUAGGAGUUUUUAUGAAUAAUAACAGAGUGAAGAACAAUGUAUUAAGAAAAGAUAAAGAAACAUUUGGUCGUGUGAAAUCAAAAAAUUCUUUAUUGAUAUUCUUAAGUUUUUAUGGUUUUCUCAUUACAAUAAUAUUUUCAUAAACGCUUUUUAUAUUCUGAAGGAGUAGUAUUUCUUUAAAAUAUACUAAUACUAUUUAUUUGUUGUUAAUUUUCAUAAUUAUUAUUAUUUACAUAAUAUUAUUAAAGUGAAGAAUAAAUUGGUGUUGAUU